Molecule: long non-coding RNA, 339 nt
Organism: Acanthochromis polyacanthus (spiny chromis)
Lineage: Eukaryota; Metazoa; Chordata; Actinopteri; Pomacentridae
Exons: 2
Source: RefSeq, a predicted model, not a curated record
CUCCUUCACUUUCUUCUCCUCCCUCUUGCACUGCUGCAGCCGGCUCUUCUUCUGCGGUUUGCUGAGUUUAUCCUCGAGGGAGAGCUUGCGGGCCGCCUCAUAAAUCUGCCUCUGCAGAGCCAGUAAACACUGAUGGGGGUUCGUACCUGCUGGUCCAGAUGGAUCAGACCUUCAUCCAGCUUGAAUGAAGCUCCGAUCCUCCUCCGAACCCGAGGUGGCUUCUCAUCUGGCAUCAGAGGAUAGUCUGAAGGCAGUGUGCCGGUCAGCUCCUGUGAAGACAAAAUAAAUGUGUUGAUUACAAGAGAAAAAAAAAAGCUAAACUGGGACCAUUUUACACAG